This 492-nucleotide ribosomal RNA is filed under the name uncultured bacterium. RNAcentral's name for it is "partial 16S ribosomal RNA". It matches the Rfam family "Bacterial small subunit ribosomal RNA", at positions 29 to 507 of the family's 1533-position model. The record is from RNAcentral.
AGUGAACGCUGGCGGUAGGCCUAACACAUGCAAGUCGAACGGCAGCACAGUAAGAGCUUGCUCUUACGGGUGGCGAGUGGCGGACGGGUGAGGAAUACAUCGGAAUCUACUUUUUCGUGGGGGAUAACGUAGGGAAACUUACGCUAAUACCGCAUACGACCUACGGGUGAAAGCAGGGGAUCUUCGGACCUUGCGCGAUUGAAUGAGCCGAUGUCGGAUUAGCUAGUUGGCGGGGUAAAGGCCCACCAAGGCGACGAUCCGUAGCUGGUCUGAGAGGAUGAUCAGCCACACUGGAACUGAGACACGGUCCAGACUCCUACGGGAGGCAGCAGUGGGGAAUAUUGGACAAUGGGCGCAAGCCUGAUCCAGCCAUGCCGCGUGAGUGAAGAAGGCCCUCGGGUUGUAAAGCCCUUUUGUUAGGAAAGAAAAGCAGCAGGUUAAUACCCCGCUGUUCUGACGGUACCCAAAGAGUAAGCACCGGCUAACUUCGUG